This is a long non-coding RNA of Chinchilla lanigera (long-tailed chinchilla), 2156 nucleotides long. RefSeq lists it as uncharacterized. Lineage: Eukaryota; Metazoa; Chordata; Mammalia; Rodentia; Chinchillidae. The transcript has 2 exons. The record is from RefSeq and is a predicted model, not a curated record.
AGCGCGCUCUCUCCUCCAGUCCGGUGCCCCGGCCCAGCGUCCCCGUACCGUCCACCUGCGCCGGGCCAGAGCCUCACUCCUUCUGCUGCGGCGCGCGCCCCGCCUCUCCUUUUAUAGCCUCCUCCCUUUUCCCCCCCACCCCGCGGGGUGCGCGCGCCCGCUCGCGUCACACAGCUGGGGCCGCGAAACCUGUCCCCGCCCCCCAAGUCCUGAGCCAGCCGGCUCCGCCCCUACCCCGCCCCCCAACGCCAUUGGCCAAGUCCCGCCUGACCACGUCCCGCCGGGCGGUGCCGAGCCCGGAGAACGGGAAGGUCGCACCCCCAGGCUCCGAGAUGGCCAAUGAUCCACAGUUUGGAGGGGCUGUAGGCGGGAUUAAAAGAAGGUUUGCAAAGGGAUUGAGGGAGAGACGGGCCAGUCGGGGAAGGGGCGGGGCGGAACCUGACGCUUGCAGGGUGGAGAGCGCGGGGAGAAAGGGGGAGGGGAGCGGAGCAGGUGGCAAAGCGGCGGGGUGGGGGGACAGGGAGGAGAAUCCAAGGCCCUGAGAGGGAGGGGAGAAGCGACACAGCAUGCCCGACCCGAGCGGGACGUGGCUGAGGAAAAUCCCACUCGCGGACGAGCCACUGCGCCGCUCUCCAGCCUGCCCGGGAGAGUCUAGAGAAAGGGCGUGUGACCGGACGCGUGCGCCCGCCUCACUGAAUCCGACCCGCCGCAGGGCCGAGGCCAACCGCCGCCGGAGGGGGCAGCUGCGGGACCCGACGGCCGGCCGCGCUGGGGGCGGGGAGGGAGGCCGCCUCGCCCACCUCCCGCCAGGUGACAGUUUAACUGUCUCCCCGGCGCCCGGCGGCAGCUCGGGAUGAGAAGCAUCCCGCUGUAUCGCUUCUCGGCCUUUUGGCUAAGAGCAAGUGAGAAGCAUCCCGCUGUGUUUCACUCGUCGCAGCUCGGGCCUCGGCGACGCGUUGGCAGGUGCUCUCUGUGACACAGAGCUUUCCUGGGGUGCGCGUGUAAGAGGAUUCGGGGCUGAUCGACGUGCGGGUCCUUGGGGAGCGGGGAAAGAAGGGACUCGGAGGGGAAGGGCGAGUGCCUUUCCCCAACCUGCGACCGAAACGCCCGGAGCUACAGUGGGCGUGGAAUCCGGCGUCGGUCUCGGCUAAAAAUAUGGCUCACAGGUAGCAACGGCGCCUGAUUGGCCGCGCCGGUUCCCUAGCAACCACGCGAUUGGCUGCCUGGUAACCAGGAGACGGACGUCAAACUCGGGCUGGGGACGGCGGAGAGACUUACAGGGGGAGCCGGGCGGAGGGGAGAGGCCCGGCGAUGAAUGGAGCAGGCGUCGCAGGCCUCCCCUGCCCGGUCCGCGUCCUCUCUCUCCAGGAGCGCUUCCUGGAAAAACACCAGCUGGGCGCCGCCUUCCCUCCUGACGCCAGGCCUGAUUCCUGAAGCUCGGCAGCGCUUUUUUUUUUUCCCCCCUAAGGAACAUAGAAGUUUUUCUCCGUGACUUUAAAUUCUGAUUCAUUUUUAGUACCUGGGUUUCUCUCUUUUUUUUAACCUGCCGGCAGAAUCAUCAAAAGAGUGGGAUUGAACUGUAAAACUAUGAUAAGCGUUUUAAAUGAGAAUAUCCCUUCACUCGCAUCGAAAUAUUUUAUAAAUUAUUUGUACCGUGCUUUUGGUGUUCUAUAAUGAACAUUCUAUUUGUAAUAAAGAUGGAUUAUUUUAAAUUUUAUAAUUAGUUGAGCAGAGAAAUGAUAAGAAAGUAGGUAGGAUAUUUUGGGAAGUGCUUAGCAAGGAGAAAUGCUAGAUUUCUCGUGCGUCCCAGAAGCAUAAUGUCUUACCAUUAGGCAAAUAAUGUUUCUGUACCAAACCCGCAGACUUGCAGGGCCAUGUGUUGAGCCAUGUGUCUUGAUUCCUAAUUUGGAAAAUAUAUUACUAUAAUUAGGGGAGCAUGUUAGGCUUGCCUGAAAUGAAAAUGUCUAACUAAAAAUAGGUGAAUCAUAAUUUUGUCAACCUUAUCUGUACUUUUCAUGAAUUAUCUAAAGAAAUGCACAAAUUUGCUUUUCUGAAUGUUCCCCAAUCUGUAAUGCCAGGAAUAAAAUACUAGUGCAGUUAACUGGUAGACACCAAUUAAAUAUCUGUAACAGUAAAUUGAAUUUCUAAGUCAGAAA